Molecule: ribosomal RNA, 492 nt
Filed under: uncultured bacterium
Lineage: Bacteria
Description: partial 16S ribosomal RNA
Rfam family: Bacterial small subunit ribosomal RNA
Source: RNAcentral
AUUGAACGCUGCGGCAUGCUUUACACAUGCAAGUCGAACGGUAACAGGUUAAGCUGACGAGUGGCGAACGGGUGAGUAAUGCAUCGGAACGUGCCCGGUCGUGGGGGAUAACACUUCGAAAGAAGUGCUAAUACCGCAUACGAUCUGAGGAUGAAAGCGGGGGACCGUAAGGCCUCGCGCGAUCGGAGCGGCCGAUGUCAGAUUAGGUAGUUGGUGGGGUAAAGGCUCACCAAGCCGACGAUCUGUAGCUGGUCUGAGAGGACGACCAGCCACACUGGGACUGAGACACGGCCCAGACUCCUACGGGAGGCAGCAGUGGGGAAUUUUGGACAAUGGGCGCAAGCCUGAUCCAGCAAUGCCGCGUGCAGGAAGAAGGCCUUCGGGUUGUAAACUGCUUUUGUACGGAACGAAAAGGUUUGACUUAAUACGUUGGACUCAUGACGGUACCGUAAGAAUAAGCACCGGCUAACUACGUGCCAGCAGCCGCCGUAA